Molecule: ribosomal RNA, 253 nt
Filed under: uncultured bacterium
Lineage: Bacteria
Description: partial 16S ribosomal RNA
Rfam family: Bacterial small subunit ribosomal RNA
Source: RNAcentral
UACGUAGGGUGCAAGCGUUAAUCGGAAUUACUGGGCGUAAAGCGUGCGCAGGCGGUUAUGCAAGACAGAUGGGAAAUCCCCGGGCUUAACCUGGGAACUGCAUUUGUGACUGCAUAGCUGGAGUACGGUAGAGGGGGAUGGAAUUCCGCGUGUAGCAGUGAAAUGCGUAGAUAUGCGGAGGAACACCGAUGGCGAAGGCAGUCCCCUGGACCUGUACUGACGCUGAGACGCGAAAGCGUGGGGAGCGAACCGG